GACGAACUGUCCUAACGUUGUUCGGAAUCACUGGGCUUAAAGGGCGCGUAGGCGGUCCGACAAGUCAGGGGUGAAAUCCUGCAGCUUAACUGCAGAAGUGCCUUUGAUACUGUCGGUCUUGAGGGAGAUAGGGGUGUGCGGAACUCACAGUGGAGCGGUGAAAUGCGUUGAUAUUGUGAGGAACGCCGGAGGCGAAAGCGGCGCACUGGAUCUCUUCUGACGCUGAGGCGCGAAAGCUAGGGGAGCAAACGGG
RNAcentral lists this ribosomal RNA (253 nucleotides) under uncultured bacterium. Its description in RNAcentral is "partial 16S ribosomal RNA". It matches the Rfam family "Bacterial small subunit ribosomal RNA", at positions 524 to 776 of the family's 1533-position model. The record is from RNAcentral.